GCAAACUUGGUCAUUUAGAGGAAGUAAAAGUCGUAACAAGGUUUCCGUAGGUGAACCUGCGGAAGGAUCAUUAACAGGCGCCCUUGCGGCGCGCGGGGGGGAUCCCGCGGCUCCGGCCCGGGGCUCCUCCCUCCUCUGCAAACCCUCCGUGUACUCUUUUCUACCCGGCGUUGCUUCCCCGCCGUGCCUAGCCGCCGGCGGGGGAGGGCCUCAUGAAAACUCAUUUUAUUGUUUCUGUCAUUUUGCUCAGUGGUCGGGCGCCGGCUCCGGCCGCGCCUGCCGACACAACUGUCAAAACUUUCAACAACGGAUCUCUUGGUUCCCGCAUCGAUGAAGAACGCAGC
RNAcentral lists this unclassified non-coding RNA (344 nucleotides) under uncultured fungus. RNAcentral's name for it is "partial contains small subunit ribosomal RNA, internal transcribed spacer 1, and 5.8S ribosomal RNA". The stretch from base 1 to 73 matches the Rfam family "Eukaryotic small subunit ribosomal RNA", at positions 1759 to 1831 of the family's 1831-position model. The record is from RNAcentral. Lineage: Eukaryota; Fungi.